Molecule: ribosomal RNA, 338 nt
Filed under: Comamonas sp. E53
Lineage: Bacteria; Pseudomonadati; Pseudomonadota; Betaproteobacteria; Burkholderiales; Comamonadaceae
Description: bacterial SSU rRNA
Rfam family: Bacterial small subunit ribosomal RNA
Source: RNAcentral
GGCGAACGGGUGAGUAAUACAUCGGAACGUGCCCACUCGUGGGGGAUAACUACUCGAAAGAGUANCUAAUACCGCAUACGAUCUGAGGAUGAAAGCGGGGGACCUUCGGGCCUCGCGCGAUUGGAGCGGCCGAUGGCAGAUUAUGUAUUUGGUGGGAUAAAAGCUUACCAACCCGACAAUCUGUAUCUGGUCUGAGAGGACAACCACCCACNCUGGGACUGAUACACGGCCCACACUCCUUCGGGAGGCAGCAGUGGGGAAUUUUGGGACAAUGGGCGAAACCCUGAUCCAUCAUUGCCCCCUGCAAGAAUGAACGCCUUCGGGUUGUAAACUGCUUU